CACAGUCAGCGUCUCCUCGACACGGAAGGCUCUCUUCUCUCAUUGAUUACGGAGCUGGGCGCUAAGAGAAAGUUCACUGACUGAAGGAAUUGAUGUCCACUAUGGCUACGUUUCGCUUUGGGCAGCACAUCAUAAAGUCCUCGGCUGUGUUUUUGAAGACGGAGUUGUCCUUCGCACUAGUCAACCGAAAGCCGGUCGUGC
Long non-coding RNA from Sinocyclocheilus grahami, 201 nucleotides. RefSeq lists it as uncharacterized. The record is from RefSeq and is a predicted model, not a curated record. NCBI's taxonomy places the organism in Eukaryota, Metazoa, Chordata, Actinopteri, Cypriniformes, Cyprinidae. The transcript is spliced from 3 exons.